This 1985-nucleotide ribosomal RNA is filed under the name Staphylococcus aureus. Its description in RNAcentral is "partial 23S ribosomal RNA". It matches the Rfam family "Bacterial large subunit ribosomal RNA", at positions 683 to 2668 of the family's 2925-position model. Lineage: Bacteria; Bacillati; Bacillota; Bacilli; Caryophanales; Staphylococcaceae. The record is from RNAcentral.
CUGAAUAGGGCGUUUAGUAUUUGGUCGUAGACCCGAAACCAGGUGAUCUACCCUUGGUCAGGUUGAAGUUCAGGUAACACUGAAUGGAGGACCGAACCGACUUACGUUGAAAAGUGAGCGGAUGAACUGAGGGUAGCGGAGAAAUUCCAAUCGAACCUGGAGAUAGCUGGUUCUCUCCGAAAUAGCUUUAGGGCUAGCCUCAAGUGAUGAUUAUUGGAGGUAGAGCACUGUUUGGACGAGGGGCCCCUCUCGGGUUACCGAAUUCAGACAAACUCCGAAUGCCAAUUAAUUUAACUUGGGAGUCAGAACAUGGGUGAUAAGGUCCGUGUUCGAAAGGGAAACAGCCCAGACCACCAGCUAAGGUCCCAAAAUAUAUGUUAAGUGGAAAAGGAUGUGGCGUUGCCCAGACAACUAGGAUGUUGGCUUAGAAGCAGCCAUCAUUUAAAGAGUGCGUAAUAGCUCACUAGUCGAGUGACACUGCGCCGAAAAUGUACCGGGGCUAAACAUAUUACCGAAGCUGUGGAUUGUCCUUUGGACAAUGGUAGGAGAGCGUUCUAAGGGCGUUGAAGCAUGAUCGUAAGGACAUGUGGAGCGCUUAGAAGUGAGAAUGCCGGUGUGAGUAGCGAAAGACGGGUGAGAAUCCCGUCCACCGAUUGACUAAGGUUUCCAGAGGAAGGCUCGUCCGCUCUGGGUUAGUCGGGUCCUAAGCUGAGGCCGACAGGCGUAGGCGAUGGAUAACAGGUUGAUAUUCCUGUACCACCUAUAAUCGUUUUAAUCGAUGGGGGGACGCAGUAGGAUAGGCGAAGCGUGCGAUUGGAUUGCACGUCUAAGCAGUAAGGCUGAGUAUUAGGCAAAUCCGGUACUCGUUAAGGCUGAGCUGUGAUGGGGAGAAGACAUUGUGUCUUCGAGUCGUUGAUUUCACACUGCCGAGAAAAGCCUCUAGAUAGAAAAUAGGUGCCCGUACCGCAAACCGACACAGGUAGUCAAGAUGAGAAUUCUAAGGUGAGCGAGCGAACUCUCGUUAAGGAACUCGGCAAAAUGACCCCGUAACUUCGGGAGAAGGGGUGCUCUUUAGGGUUAACGCCCAGAAGAGCCGCAGUGAAUAGGCCCAAGCGACUGUUUAUCAAAAACACAGGUCUCUGCUAAACCGUAAGGUGAUGUAUAGGGGCUGACGCCUGCCCGGUGCUGGAAGGUUAAGAGGAGUGGUUAGCUUCUGCGAAGCUACGAAUCGAAGCCCCAGUAAACGGCGGCCGUAACUAUAACGGUCCUAAGGUAGCGAAAUUCCUUGUCGGGUAAGUUCCGACCCGCACGAAAGGCGUAACGAUUUGGGCACUGUCUCAACGAGAGACUCGGUGAAAUCAUAGUACCUGUGAAGAUGCAGGUUACCCGCGACAGGACGGAAAGACCCCGUGGAGCUUUACUGUAGCCUGAUAUUGAAAUUCGGCACAGCUUGUACAGGAUAGGUAGGAGCCUUUGAAACGUGAGCGCUAGCUUACGUGGAGGCGCUGGUGGGAUACUACCCUAGCUGUGUUGGCUUUCUAACCCGCACCACUUAUCGUGGUGGGAGACAGUGUCAGGCGGGCAGUUUGACUGGGGCGGUCGCCUCCUAAAAGGUAACGGAGGCGCUCAAAGGUUCCCUCAGAAUGGUUGGAAAUCAUUCAUAGAGUGUAAAGGCAUAAGGGAGCUUGACUGCGAGACCUACAAGUCGAGCAGGGUCGAAAGACGGACUUAGUGAUCCGGUGGUUCCGCAUGGAAGGGCCAUCGCUCAACGGAUAAAAGCUACCCCGGGGAUAACAGGCUUAUCUCCCCCAAGAGUUCACAUCGACGGGGAGGUUUGGCACCUCGAUGUCGGCUCAUCGCAUCCUGGGGCUGUAGUCGGUCCCAAGGGUUGGGCUGUUCGCCCAUUAAAGCGGUACGCGAGCUGGGUUCAGAACGUCGUGAGACAGUUCGGUCCCUAUCCGUCGUGGGCGUAGGAAAUUUGAGAG